Molecule: long non-coding RNA, 4233 nt
Organism: Anolis carolinensis (green anole)
Lineage: Eukaryota; Metazoa; Chordata; Lepidosauria; Squamata; Anolidae
Source: Ensembl
GGUCCGUUCUGCUGCAGUGCCACCAUGUAGGCAAUAAAGUGAUGUCAAGAGCAGGUAUCUCCCUGCUCCUCUUUACUAUUCCUAAGCUGUCAGUUUUCUGUUAUUUUAUAUUUUAUAGUUAUAUUUACUUGUUUUGUUUUUCAAAGCUAGAAUUGCAAAAUUACCCCUAAAUUAAAAAAAAAUCAUGUCAGAAGUGACUUGAGGUAAGUCACUUCUGGUGUGAGAGAAUUGGCUGUCUACAGAGACGUUGUCCAGGGGACACCUGGAUGCGUUACCAUCCUACUGAGAGGCUUUUCUCAUGUCCCCACAAGCUAGAACUGACAGACGGGAGCUCACCUCAUCUCGCAGAUUCAAGCUGGCAACCUUCAGGUCAACAACCCAACCUUCAGGUUGGUGCAUAUAUUGGUCCAUGGAGGGAGUGCUGUGGUGUGGCAAUGUAUGAAGCAACAAAAGCUGGGAAUUAGAUUAUAAAUGUCUUGGCCACACACCACAUUUAGUUAUGGAAACCUACUGGACAACCUUGAGGAAACCACACUGCCUCUACCCAGAAGAAGGCAAAGGCAAAUCCUCUCUCAAGAAAUUCUGUCAAGAAACCUCUUGCCUGUCAACCUUGAUUGCAAUUCAGUUGAAAGCACACAACAUCUCAUGUGAAAAUUAAUGGCUAAAGUACACAGGCUCCUCUUGGGUAGGUGGGGGUUUAUAGGCUCAUAUUUUUUUAAUUCAACACAUUAUUUUUUGACUCACACACCAGCUAUCACAUAUCCUCCAACUGUAGCCAUUCCCUUUGUCCCUUUUUGAUUACAAUAAGAUUUACAAAGGCUUCUGGUUUUGCAGCUGCUUUCAUUCUCUCUUCUUUCCCAACCUGACCCUAGUGGGUUUUUUCAUGUUUGUUUAGCUGUUGUAAGAGAUCAUACUAAAACUAUUUCACUCCAUAUUUAUAUUCGUCUCUGAAUCUACCAGUUUAAAUUUUCAUUAAUCUAGACAGAUUUUCAUUUAGCAACAUGCCUAGAUAUAAUUAUCUAUACUUUCGAAAGCACACGCCAUUGGUUGCAAAAUAAAAUAAAGUUUAAAUGUCAAAAAACUUCACCUAAGUGAACUGUUCACAUUUCCUACUUUAUAUCAACUUGUUGACUUUAAUUUAUGCAUGUGAUCCUGAUGAGCUUACAAGUACUUAAAGAUCAAAAUCACAUUUAUUUCAUUAAAAAGAAAGGUACUUACCUGCUUUUAGGCAAUUUGUUUUUAUUUAAUUAAGGAAGACAGCACUUCUUUGAAACAUUAUCAAAUGGCUGCUCUUUUUUUAAAGUAGAUGGAGUGCAACCACAUGAAUAUGCCUCUCUUAUAAAAUGUAUUCCAGCCUUCUCCAACAUGGUGCACUCUUCAUAUUUUGGAAUAUAGUCCCCACGAUAAUUCAUAAUUAGCCAUAUUGGUUGGGGCUAAUAAUCCAAAACAAUUUCCUGGAUAAAAUUCACUCAGGGUGCUUCAACACUGUAGAAUUAAUACAGUUUGAAACCAUUUUAGCUUUCAUGACUUAAUGCUAUGGAGUCAUAAGAAUUGUAAUUAUACAAGGUCUUUGCAUUUGUGAAGUCUUGGCUCUGCCUUUUCCUCUCCUUUGCUUCAGUUCCCUCUGUUUAGGUUUUCCCAAUAGUGUAGACACCUCCAUUUGUAUUAGUUUUGGGGUGGAGCAUAAAACCCCCUAGAGGCCAGUCUUAGUUGGUCUGUUCCAUUUGCCUGUUCAGAGCUUUCUUGAUAGGCCCCCUUUUUCUUUCUUCAUUAGAGCUACAGUGAUUAGAGGCCUGGUUAUUGUCUGGUAAUCUUAGGCCUGGCAAUCCAAACAGGCAUCCUUAGCAGCUGCAUUUAGCAGUAUUCAUAUACCAUCAGUCCCAGAGACAACAGAAGCUUGUGGUCAGCCCAAGUUUCACAAAGUAGAAGACCAUGACAACUUAUAAACACUAGUUUAUAAUCCAUCGCUUUACAUCAGAGGCAAAAAAACUUUUAAGGAUUCCAGAGAGAUUACUGCAACCAGCAAAAUCUCCUUUCGUAAUGCAUUGUUUUAUCUCAAUAAGUUCCUUGUCUUUCAGAUCUCGCUGCAGGUGAUACUUCAUAUCAGCUUUCAUGGUGUGUGAAUUAUCUCCUUUCCAGUCUGUGUGAGAUAUGCAUGAUCCAGUGAUUCCAAGUUCCUCUAGCAAUUGGCAUGGUCACAUAUAUUCCUUUGACAGCUGAUACACCUUCUUUAGCAAAAUGCUACACAUUUUUUCUUGUUGAACCAGUUUAUUGUUCCACUUUUAUAGAAGAACACAUUCCCCCCAGGAGAUUUGCCAGCUGAAGGCUCUCUAGUAGUGUUUGCAUCUGUAAAAACCAUUUUAAUCUUGGAUGGCUGUUGGUUUGUAUCUUUAACUUUAAAUCUCUACCUACUCUUUUCACUCCAGUCCAAUCCUUUUUACUCUGAGAAUUGAUUUUUUUACAAAGAAUUCCAACUGCUAAGGCAAUAUCUGGUCUCAUGGUGAUGGCUAGGUAUAGUAGUUUUCCUACAGUAGGUCUGUAUUGUUUAUUGUUAUGAGAUAGUUCACUAUGUUUAUCUUUCUUGAGGUAGACUAUUUUCAUAGCUAUGGCCACUGGUUAGCCUCUUUGAGAUGUGGGUGUUCCAAGAGCUUAUUAAACUUUUGUCCUUGAGAUAGAGAUACCUUCCAUCUUCCUAUCUUUAUUGUGGCAUCUCUUACUACAAGGGCAAAGGUCUGAUUAUAGCUCUUGCUAUAUUUCUGUGAAUCAGCCUUUGCUAUAAAUCUGGCUUUGGAUUGCUGGAUCUCCCUUCUCCAUCUUAUUUGACUUUGAUGACCCAUUUGGACCGUUCAGUCAUCUUGCCUAUUGAUAGCCCUGUGAUUGUCCAGGUUUGAUUUUUAUGAAGGACCUGUAUUUCGUCUUAUUCAUCUUUUCUUUACUUAACAUAUUCUGCUGCAGGAAAUAUUUAAAUGUAUUUCCAGGCUACAGGUUCAUAUGGUGUCACUGUUUUUGUGAGGUAGAACAGGUAUUGAGAUGAUAUUCCUUUAUUUGACACAUUCACCUUUCGGCCCAGACUUGUGUUUGAUAUACCUGUUUUAACAUUUUAUCUUGUAAGAUUGUCCUUUUGAUUGUUUUACCGAUAUUGUUGAUUUAUUGUUGUAAAUUUGUGUUUUUGUUUUGAUUUUAUAUUGUGAUGUUGGGCAAGACCCCAUGUGAGCCGCCCCGAGUCCCUUCGGGGAGAUGGGGCGGGGUACAAGAAUAAAUUAUUAUUAUUAUUAUUAUUAUUAUUAUUAUUAUUAUUAUUUAGCUGGGAUGAGCAUCUGAAGUCUGUUUGUGCAGUGAUUUCCAGCUCUGAACCUCCUCCUAUAGCUCUACAUCCCUUUUUCUUUCUGUAAGGGUAAAUGUAAAGGUUUUCCCCUGACGUUAAGUCCAGUCAUGUCUGACUCUGGGGGUUGGUGCUCAUCUCCAUUUCUAAGCCGAAGAGCCGGUGUUGUCUGUAGACACCUCCAAGGUCAUGUGGCCGGCAUGACUGCAUGGAGCGCCGUUGACUUCAUCUCUGUAAUUAGACCAAAAAUACUGUUAGCUUUUCUGUAUUGAGAUGGUGUAUGGUUUACAUUUGUUCCCUGUGUCUCAUCAAAGUACACAACAUUUUUCAUGGUAAUUCUUCCUGUUUUUGGAUUCAGAGUUCUGCAUUCUUUGCCUCUGGGCUCAUACUCUACUGUAAUGCUUUCUUCAGAGCUGUCAUCUAGUUUUGAACUUUUCUCCUUUGGUAGAUGAGCAUAACUCAUGGAUCCCAAUGCUCUGAUAUGUUCCAUACUUGGCUAUCUCCCAUGGACAAAUUGAGUUUUGGGUUGGGCUUAUUCUAUUGUCAUGUAGCCUACAGAUUAUGUAACACCACAGCCAAUAGUGGUUGAUUUCCACAGUAUUGGUUGGUUAAUUUAAAAGUACUGCAGGAUAUAUCUCACUAUUUCCUUUAAUGACUUAUUGUUUCACUCCACAACUGUAUUUUUGUCAGAUGUGUAGGGAAUUAUGUUCCUACUUAUAAUUACCUGCUCGUUCAUGCAUAUUUGGGUGCAGUAUGACAUGUACUCAUCAGCAUUGUUGGUCUAGAGAGCUUGAAUGUUUCUACCAAAUUUGUUAUUCAUAAUGGCAACACGUGUGACAAGCGCUGACUUUUCUCUUUGAGCAGAUAGGUCACACAGUAUUUAGAAUAAUCACCUACAAAUGUUAGUAAGC